Non-coding RNA from Oryza sativa Japonica Group (Japanese rice), 2484 nucleotides. The record is from RefSeq and is a predicted model, not a curated record. Lineage: Eukaryota; Viridiplantae; Streptophyta; Magnoliopsida; Poales; Poaceae.
CCCACUGACGUUGGGCCCCCCUGUCUCCUUCCUUCUUUCUCCUCCCUCUCUCUCUCCUCUCUCUCUUUCUCUCCCCUUCUUCUUCCCCUUCAGCUGAUGGUGCGUGGCAGCAGGCAAGCCCGCCGCGGCGGUGGCAGAGCAAGCGGCGACGGACGGCGGCGCAGGGCAAGGGAAGAAACAAUAACGUCAGGUUCGUGCAGCCGGACAAGCCGCGUUCCGGUCGCAGCCGAUCCCUGGCGGCAAGCCGGCACGCCGCGCGACAUCGAACCGCGGCGGCCGGAUGAUGUCCCGGGACAGGCGCUACGACUCGUUCAAGACGUGGUCCGGGAAGCUUGAGCGGCAGCUCGCCCAUCUGGCUGGCGCCGGGCCGGAGUUCCCCGAGGAGGAGGAGGACGGUUGCGACGCCAUCAGCAGCCACCACACCAAGUCCAUGCCUCAGGUUGAUCGCUUCUUCGCCGCACUGGAGUGCCCCGAACUGGACAAACUCCGGUCAUCGGAGGAGCUGGUGCUUCCGUUGGACAAAACGUGGCCGUUUCUGCUCCGGUUCCCGGUGUCGGCGUUCGGUAUCUGCCUCGGCGUGAGCACCCAAGCGAUCCUGUGGAAGACGGUGGCGACGUCAGCGCCGACCAGAUUCCUUCACGUCACUACCAAGGUGAACCUGGUGCUAGUGCGUUUCCGUCGCGCUCAUGUGCGUCAUCGCAGCCAUCUACGCUUGCAAGGUGGUCUUCUUCUUCGAGGCCGUCCUUGAGCGGCAAGGGAGUUGGGCGGCAAGCGGGGGAGGAGGUGGGUGCGCUCACCGCGAGGAGCGGGGCGAUGUGGUCGCGGUGGCAGGGAUCCCGGCGAGCCGCGCAGACGAGGGGGAGCGGCGAGCCACGCAGACAAGGGGUAGGAGGCGGGGGCGCAGCGGCGCGAGGGCGGAGGCGGAGUACAUCGCCGGCCUGCACGCCAUGGCGAUGGCGGCGGCGGCGGCGGCGGCGGUGGCGAACGUUGUCGGGGAGAUCCCCCACCUCACCCUAUCCAUGGCGGCCAUCGCCACUCUUCGCUCCCCGGCGUCUUCGCUCCCCGGCGUCUCCGCCGCUCGCCACCGUCUCUCCUUGCCCGCCGCCGCCCUUCCGCCGUCUCCCAACCACCGUCCCGACCGCCGGACGCCACCGCCAUCCCCACUGCUGCUCCGGGGGUGAAGAGAAAGGCUAGGGAGAGAAUGAGAGAAGGGAGGGAGGAGGAAGAAGGGGAGGAGAGAGGAUGACAUGUGGGCCCCACAUGGUCUGUGGGUCCCGCAUGUCAUCCUAUGUGUGAAUGAUAAAUGAAUUUUUUUUAAUUCUAAUGCCACAUAAGCGUCACGUCAACGCCACGUGUAAAGAAGAUCCGGUCAGUACCGCCACGUAGGUGUCACGUCAGCAAAACCGCCCUUCAAAACCGUCAAGGGAGUCAAAUUGCACCGGUUCAAUAGUUAAGGGUCGAGAUAUCCGGUUUUGUGGUUUAGGGUCAUGGAUUAGAUUCGGGAAAAAGUACACCGAAGGUCCCUCAACUUAUCAACGGGAUAAAAAACGUCCUCGAACCGCAAAACCAGAUAUGUGAGAUCCCUUAACUAUACAAAACCGGUCACCCGAGAUCCUUCGGGGAUUUUGACCCCAGUUUUGGUCUACGUGGCGGCUAAGUCAGCGUAGGUCCCACGUGGGCCCCACAUGUCAGAUGUCCACGUCAGCCUCCUCUCCUCCCUUUCCCCUUUUCUCUCCCUUCGUCAUCUUCGUCAACGUCACGGCGAACCCGCGGCUCGGCGAGGCCGCGCUCCGGCGGGUCGGCACGUCGGCGGCGGCGGUGGACUGGCUGGUGGAGAUGCUCACCUGGAACGGCGCCGCCGAGGCCGCCGCCAGGGCGUCCGCCGCGCUCGUCGUGUCCAAGCUAGCCAGCAAUUAAGAAGCGGAACGCGCUCCGUGUCGCCGGCGUCCCUGGCGAUAUCAAGUCUGCGUCGUCGCUGCUCUACGUCGCCGACGAGGAGUGCAACCUCCAAGGCCUCCUCAUCAUCAAGAAGCUGACGCGCAACCACGACACCUGCAGCAAGAUUGGCAACGCAAUGUAUUUGAUAGGUGGAGCACAUGCUGUCAAGAAAAAACCAAGUUCCAUCACAAUUGAGUUCUCCCGUGGGAAUUAUAAUAAGAUUCUAUCGUGCCUCUUCUCUACCAGUGAUUUGGAAUAUCUACAGAUAGAAAGAUGCAUCAUGAGCUUGCCUCGAGAGUUUGAAGGUUUUAAGCAGCUAAUUGUUCUGAAUCUGCAUACACCUAACCUGUCCAAUGUGUAUGUUACACUCGACAAAACAAAAGUUGCAGACAGGAGUAAAAACUAUAUGAUGCAAAGCUUUUGUCAGCCUAACUGAAAUAGAAACACUUGUUAUGAAAAGAUGUAUGGUUGCGUUGCCUCAAAUUUUUUUUUUGAUGAAAGGCCAAGGCCCAGCUUUCAUUAGAAAAGCAUAAGAGUACAUGUAUG